AACGAACGCUGGCGGCAUGCCUAACACAUGCAAGUCGAACGAGACCUUCGGGUCUAGUGGCGCACGGGUGCGUAACGCGUGGGAACCUGCCCUUAGGUUCGGAAUAACUCCCCGAAAGGGGUGCUAAUACCGGAUAAUGUCUUCGGACCAAAGAUUUAUCGCAUUUGGAUGUGCCCGCGUUGGUUUAGCUAGUUGGUAGGGUAAAAGCCUACCAAGGCGACGAUCCAUAGCUGGUUUGAGAGGAGGAUCAGCCACACUGGGACUGAGACACGGCCCAGACUCCUACGGGAGGCAGCAGUGGGGAAUAAAGGACAAUGAGCGAAAGGCUGAUACAGCAAGGCCGGGUGAGUGAUGAAGGCGUUGGGGUUGUAAAGCUCUUUUACCGGGGAUGAUAAUGACAGUACCGGGAGAAUAAGCUCCGGCUAACUCCGUG
This 433-nucleotide ribosomal RNA is filed under the name uncultured bacterium. RNAcentral's name for it is "partial 16S ribosomal RNA". It matches the Rfam family "Bacterial small subunit ribosomal RNA", at positions 29 to 507 of the family's 1533-position model. The record is from RNAcentral.